CCUACGGGAGGCAGCAGUGAGGAAUAUUGGUCAAUGGACGAGAGUCUGAACCAGCCAAGUAGCGUGAAGGAUGACUGCCCUAUGGGUUGUAAACUUCUUUUAUAUGGGAAUAAAACGUUCCACGUGUGGGAUUUUGUAUGUACCAUAUGAAUAAGGAUCGGCUAACUCCGUGCCAGCAGCCGCGGUAAUACGGAGGAUCCGAGCGUUAUCCGGAUUUAUUGGGUUUAAAGGGAGCGUAGGUGGGUUGUUAAGUCAGUUGUGAAAGUUUGCGGCUCAACCGUAAAAUUGCAGUUGAUACUGGCAGUCUUGAGUACAGUAGAGGUAGGCGGAAUUCGUGGUGUAGCGGUGAAAUGCUUAGAUAUCACGAAGAACUCCGAUUGCGAAGGCAGUUCACUGGACUGCAACUGACACUGAGGCUCGAAAGUGUGGGUAUCAAACAGGAUUAGAUACCCUUGUAGUC
RNAcentral lists this ribosomal RNA (460 nucleotides) under uncultured bacterium. Its description in RNAcentral is "partial 16S ribosomal RNA". It matches the Rfam family "Bacterial small subunit ribosomal RNA", at positions 338 to 795 of the family's 1533-position model. The record is from RNAcentral.